This 775-nucleotide ribosomal RNA is filed under the name uncultured Neocallimastigales. RNAcentral's name for it is "partial large subunit ribosomal RNA". It matches the Rfam family "Eukaryotic large subunit ribosomal RNA", at positions 23 to 616 of the family's 3401-position model. The record is from RNAcentral. Lineage: Eukaryota; Fungi; Neocallimastigomycota; Neocallimastigomycetes; Neocallimastigales.
AGAGAGAGACAUGCGCGCAUAUCAAUAAGCGGAGGAAAAGAAACUAACAAGGAUUCCCCUAGUAACGGCGAGUGAAGCGGGAAGAGCUCAAAUUUGAAAUCUUCAAGGUUCUACCUUUACGAAUUGUAGUUUAAAGAAGUGUUUUCUGUUGAGGUUUUGGUAAAAGUUCUUUGGAAUAGGACAUCAUAGAGGGUGAGAAUCCCGUAUUUGACCUUUACUUUCAACUUUGUGAUACACUUUCAAAGAGUCGGAUUGUUUGGGAAUGCAGUCCAAAAUGGGUGGUAAAUUUCAUCUAAAGCUAAAUAUUGGCGAGAGACCGAUAGCGAACAAGUACCGUGAGGGAAAGAUGAAAAGAACUUUGAAAAGAGAGUUAAACAGUACGUGAAAUUGUCAAAAGGGAAGCGUUUGACACCAGUGUUGUUUUUCUGAAAAUCAAUUAAAGAACUGUUUAUGCUAAGUUGUUUAGACUUUAUCAGCUAACUGUUUAGUUUUGAGCUUUUCUUUAAUGCACUUUUCAGUUAACAAGUCAACAUCAAUUUCUUUUGUUGUAAAAGGGUCAUUGGAAGGUGGCUUUCUUUUCGGAGAAAGUGUUUAUAGCCUUUGGCCUCUGCAAUCGGAGAGACUGAGGUCUGCAGCGUAGAUCCUUCGGGGUUAGAUACAUUUGUGCUAAGUUAUAGCCUUUCAUAGACAACUUGUUGACUAUGAUUAGUCAUUGUAGCUUACUCGCUUAUGCUAUUUUACCUACGCUUAGGAUGUUGAGCGCAUGUCUCUCUCU